Molecule: ribosomal RNA, 241 nt
Filed under: uncultured Fusibacter sp.
Lineage: Bacteria; Bacillati; Bacillota; Clostridia; Eubacteriales; Fusibacteraceae
Description: partial 16S ribosomal RNA
Rfam family: Bacterial small subunit ribosomal RNA
Source: RNAcentral
AACAGACUGCCGUGGAUAACACGGAGGAAGGUGGGGAGUGACGUCAAAUCAUCAUGCCCCUUAUGAUCUGGGCUACACACGUGCUACAAUGGUCGGUACAACGGGCAGCGAAAGAGUAAUCUGGAGCGAAUCCUAAAAAGCCGAUCCCAGUUCGGAUUGUGGGCUGAAACUCGCCCACAUGAAGUUGGAGUUGCUAGUAAUCGCGAAUCAGAAUGUCGCGGUGAAUGCGUUCCCGGGUCUU